GCGCUGUAUGAAAGGAGAGAAGGUUAGCACUCCCCUUGACAAGGGUGGAAGAGGCCCUUGGGCCUGACAACACGCAUACGGUUAAGGCAUUGCCACCUACUUUGUGGCAUCUACCACUGAUUUUU
Molecule: non-coding RNA, 125 nt
Filed under: Chinchilla lanigera (long-tailed chinchilla)
Lineage: Eukaryota; Metazoa; Chordata; Mammalia; Rodentia; Chinchillidae
Source: RNAcentral